This 497-nucleotide ribosomal RNA is filed under the name uncultured bacterium. RNAcentral describes it as "partial 16S ribosomal RNA". It matches the Rfam family "Bacterial small subunit ribosomal RNA", at positions 28 to 507 of the family's 1533-position model. The record is from RNAcentral.
GAUGAACGCUGGCGGCGUGCCUAAUACAUGCAAGUCGAGCGAACAGACGAGGAGCUUGCUCCUCUGACGUUAGCGGCGGACGGGUGAGUAACACGUGGAUAACCUACCUAUAAGACUGGGAUAACUUCGGGAAACCGGAGCUAAUACCGGAUAACAUGUUGAACCGCAUGGUUCAACAGUGAAAGACGGUCUUGCUGUCACUUAUAGAUGGAUCCGCGCCGCAUUAGCUAGUUGGUAAGGUAACGGCUUACCAAGGCAACGAUGCGUAGCCGACCUGAGAGGGUGAUCGGCCACACUGGAACUGAGACACGGUCCAGACUCCUACGGGAGGCAGCAGUAGGGAAUCUUCCGCAAUGGGCGAAAGCCUGACGGAGCAACGCCGCGGGAGUGAAGAAGGUCUUCGGAUCGUAAAACUCUGUUAUUAGGGAAGAACAAAUGUGUAAGUAACUAUGCACGUCUUGACGGUACCUAAUCAGAAAGCCACGGCUAACUACGUG